This 484-nucleotide ribosomal RNA is filed under the name uncultured bacterium. RNAcentral's name for it is "partial 16S ribosomal RNA". It matches the Rfam family "Bacterial small subunit ribosomal RNA", at positions 30 to 507 of the family's 1533-position model. The record is from RNAcentral.
AUUGAACGCUGGCGGCAGGCCUAACACAUGCAAGUCGAGCGGAUAAAGGGAGCUUGCUCCUGGAUUCAGCGGCGGACGGGUGAGUAAUGCCUAGGAAUCUGCCUGGUAGUGGGGGAUAACGUCCGGAAACGGGCGCUAAUACCGCAUACGUCCUGAGGGAGAAAGUGGGGGAUCUUCGGACCACACGCUAUCAGAUGAGCCUAGGUCGGAUUAGCUAGUUGGUGGGGUAAAGGCCUACCAAGGCGACGAUCCGUAACUGGUCUGAGAGGAUGAUCAGUCACACUGGAACUGAGACACGGUCCAGACUCCUACGGGAGGCAGCAGUGGGGAAUAUUGGACAAUGGGCGAAAGCCUGAUCCAGCCAUGCCGCGUGUGUGAAGAAGGUCUUCGGAUUGUAAAGCACUUUAAGUUGGGAGGAAGGGCAGUAAGUUAAUACCUUGCUGUUUUGACGUUACCAACAGAAUAAGCACCGGCUAACUUCGUG